RNAcentral lists this ribosomal RNA (418 nucleotides) under uncultured bacterium. Its description in RNAcentral is "bacterial SSU rRNA". It matches the Rfam family "Bacterial small subunit ribosomal RNA", at positions 359 to 776 of the family's 1533-position model. The record is from RNAcentral.
GAAUAUUGGUCAAUGGACGAAAGUCUGAACCAGCAACGCCGCGUGAGGGAUGAAGCACCAAGGUGUGUAAACCUCUGUUAGAGGGGACGAACGAUCCCGAUUUUCGGGAUGUGACGGUACCCUCAGAGAAAGCCCCGGCCAACCCCGUCCCAGCAGCCGCGGUAAUACGGGGGGGGCGAGCGUUGUCCGGAAUUAUUGGGUGUAAAGGGCGCGUAGGCGGAUUUGUAAGUCAGUGGUGAAAUCUCGGGACUUAACUCCGAGUCUGCCGCUGAGACUGCUUUUCUUGAGUGUGGAAGAGGAAAUCGGAAUUCCCGGUGUAGCGGUGAAAUGCGUAGAUAUCGGGAAGAACACCAGUGGCGAAGGCGGAUUUCUGGUCCACAACUGACGCUGAGGCGCGAAAGCGUGGGUAGCAAACAGG